UCACNAUCCACUUCGGUAGCGCCCACACAGAUUUUGCAUGCCUGUCUUCAACUCUUAUCGUGAAAUUUUUGGUUAAGUCCCCGCAACGAGCGCAACCCACNUCCUUAGUUGCCAUCAUUCAUUUUGUCACUCUAGGGAGACUGCCGGUGAUAAGCCGCGAGGAAAGUGUGGAUGACGUCAAGUCCUCAUGCCCCUUACGGGAUGGACUACACACGUGCUACAAUGGCUGUUACAGUGGGACAAAAAGGAGCGAUCUCAAGCAAAUCCCCAAAAGCCGUCCCCAGUUCGGAUUGCACUCUGCCCCUUGAGGGCAAAAACCCNG
This 322-nucleotide ribosomal RNA is filed under the name Methylobacterium sp. MA2.11. RNAcentral's name for it is "bacterial SSU rRNA". It matches the Rfam family "Bacterial small subunit ribosomal RNA", at positions 1008 to 1329 of the family's 1533-position model. The record is from RNAcentral. Lineage: Bacteria; Pseudomonadati; Pseudomonadota; Alphaproteobacteria; Hyphomicrobiales; Methylobacteriaceae.